This 29-nucleotide non-coding RNA is filed under the name Rattus norvegicus (Norway rat). Lineage: Eukaryota; Metazoa; Chordata; Mammalia; Rodentia; Muridae. The record is from RNAcentral.
UUGGCUCAUUGCUGGCAGUUGGAAGAAUC